UCCCAUCUGCCAGCCCAAGCGCAGCCAGCGCCACGGAGUGUGCCUGCAAGGUGGAGAGGCAGCUGCAGAAUAAAUCCCUGGGUCUUUUUCCCCUCCGGUGCAAGGAGUCACCCCGAGCCGCUUGCUGUGCUGGCCGGGGGCACGGCCGCGGUCCUGCUCACCUGAUUUAUUCUCUCUGCUCAGCACACAGAGAAGGGGAAUUCUUCACGGGGAGAAACGUUGGCAGCCCCAAGCCGUCCCCUGGAAGCAGCCAGCGCUUGGUGCGAGCGUUCAUUCAAAGGAGCAGGGAGAGAAAGGAAAAAGCUGUAGUAGGGAAAGAGGAAGAUUUAAAAAAAAAAAAAAGCAGACACCUCCGAGGCGCUUGGGAAGCUGGAAGGCAGCGAGGCAGUCGGGAUUUCUGGUCUGAGGCUGGGACGGAGACCCGCGGAGCUGGUGCGAGGGGAGUUUUGCAUAUUCAGAAAAGUAAACAGAAGAAUCAGCCUUGUUUUUUUUCUUUUUUUUUUUUUCUUUCAGAAUUACAGGAACCAGAGAUGGAAAAGACCUAUUAACUCAUCUUUCCGUUCCCCUCCAGGGCAGAACAGGAUUGCUCCCUGGAGGAGAUUAUUUUUAGCACUCUGUUGAGCACGGUUUUUGAUGUCUCAUGAGAUGGGGGGGGGGGGGGAGUUCUUUUCCAGGGAUUUAGAUGUAAGAACGAUAAACCAGGUUCCUCCAAAGGAAGGCUUGACCCAGAGAUGAAACGAGGAUCAAAGCUUUGCUCUGAGGUUCAAAAAUGUUUGCCUGCAUGUUUUCCUCUCUCUGUAACGUGUUUCUGCAUCUCUCCACAGCGUGCUUUGCCUGGGAAGGAAGCAGAGGCAGCGAAGCCCCGGCUCUCCGGGGAUUUUUGCUCCUAGGGAAAGGGAGAAACGCGACGAUUUCUCUGGAAGAAGCUUUGGUUGGGCCAUUGCAUUUGUGGGGAGAGAAAGAGGAAUGUCACAUCUGCUAGGUGACCGACACAUGUCCCCAGUGCCCUAUAGGCUCAGCAGGAGGCCAGUAAUUCAGGUUGCAGACAAGGCCCCAUUGACUCUGCUCCCAGCGCAGAGCGGUUCAGUUGCGUUGGCGCUGGAAAAUCGUCUGCUGCCCCUGCAGCCGGGGCUGGGGG
Oxyura jamaicensis (ruddy duck) is the source of this 1138-nucleotide long non-coding RNA. RefSeq lists it as uncharacterized. The record is from RefSeq and is a predicted model, not a curated record. Lineage: Eukaryota; Metazoa; Chordata; Aves; Anseriformes; Anatidae. The transcript has 2 exons.